This 220-nucleotide long non-coding RNA is filed under the name Rhinopithecus bieti (black snub-nosed monkey). RNAcentral describes it as "lncRNA (ENSRBIG00000046699.1)". Lineage: Eukaryota; Metazoa; Chordata; Mammalia; Primates; Cercopithecidae. The record is from RNAcentral.
AUUGAGGAAGCCUUCUCUGUCUUCUCUAAGGCAGAGGUAGGUGCCUCUAUCCACAGCAGGGGAAGAAGCAGCCCAUAUACAGCUAAACAUGGAGAGAUUCAGUCCUGCAGCACAGCACAGGAGAUAGCAGGAUAAAUCUCAAUAAGCUGCAGUUUGAUAAGGUAUGGUAAAAAAUAAAAUAAUUAGAGUAUAAAUGAAAUAAUGGAAAAACAAGUAAUUA